UGAUCAAUGGAAACAGGAUGUCUGAAUACUUUGUUUUUUGCUUUGUCAUUAAUGAGGUAUUAUGUGUAGAUUGAUGGGGAUUUUUUUGUUGUUUUAAUCCAUUAUAGAAUAAGGCUGUAACGUAACAAAAUAUGGAUAAAGUCACUGGGUCUGAAUACAUUCCGAAGGCACUGUGAAUGCUUUUUUGAUGUUGAUAACUGAUGUAUUGAAAGAGUUGACAUAGCAGCUUCCUACUCUGUCAUAGGAUACCUUUUUAUUGUAUCGAUACUAUAAAUCAUUGUAGUAGAUUUAUUUAAUUCAGAUUAUUGAGUGGUAGAAAAUGUCCUUUGUGCGAUUUUUGUUAGACUCAUUGAUUGAUUGAUUUAAUGAACACCAGUGCCCAAAAAUAGACAACUUCACUGUGAUGCAAUAAAUAAGGAGACACUCAGAAAGUAUUCAGACCCCAUGACUUUUCCCACCAUUUCUUUUUACAACCCAGUCUAAAAUUUAUGAAAUGAUUUUCCUCUUCAAUCUACACACAAUACCCCAUAAUGACAAAGUGACAAAGGUUGUUUUCAAAUGUAAAAUUCAAAUGUAUUAAAAAUAAAAACAGAAAUACCUUUAUUUACAUGGCAAAAUGGGAUUAACAUUAAUUUGAUCUAAUAUUAAUAAAAAGGAAAGUAAUAUCUCAUCUCGCGUUUUAUGAUAUCUUACAGUAUUAGAGGUGUAAUUAAUGAGGUACGUUAAAGAGGUGUUGUAAUUAAUGAGGUACGUUAAAGAGGUGUUGUAAUUAAUGAGGUACGUUAAAGAGGUGUUGUAAUUAAUGAGGUACGUUAAAGAGGUGUUGUAAUUAAUGAGGUACGUUAAAGAGGUGUUGUAAUUAAUGAGGUACGUUAAAGAGGUGUUGUAAUUAGUUAUGUACAUUAAAAGGAGAAUCUGG
Molecule: non-coding RNA, 919 nt
Organism: Oncorhynchus mykiss (rainbow trout)
Lineage: Eukaryota; Metazoa; Chordata; Actinopteri; Salmoniformes; Salmonidae
Source: RefSeq, a predicted model, not a curated record